CCUACGGGAGGCAGCAGUGGGGAAUGUUGGACAAUGGGCGCAAGCCUGAUCCAGCUAUUCCGCGUGUGGGAAGACGGCCUUCGGGUUGUAAACCACUUUUGUAGAGAACGAAAAGUCUGUUGAUAAUACCGAUAGAUGAUGACGGUACUCUAAGAAUAAGCACCGGCUAACUACGUGCCAGCAGCCGCGGGAAUACGUAGGGUGCGAGCGUUAAUCGGAAUUACUGGGCGUAAAGGGUGUGCAGGCGGUGUUGCAAGAUGGAAGUGAAAGCCCCGGGCUUAACCUGGGAAAGCAAUGCAUGACUGCAAGACUAGAGUGCGUCAGAGGGGGGUGGAAUUCCAAGUGUAGCAGUGAAAUGCGUAGAUAUUUGGAAGAACACCGAUGGCGAAGGCAGCCCCCUGGGACGCAACUGACGCUCAUACACGAAAGCGUGGGGAGCAAACAGGAUUAGAUACCCGGGUAGUC
Molecule: ribosomal RNA, 465 nt
Filed under: uncultured bacterium
Lineage: Bacteria
Description: partial 16S ribosomal RNA
Rfam family: Bacterial small subunit ribosomal RNA
Source: RNAcentral